Molecule: transfer RNA, 69 nt
Filed under: Marmota monax (woodchuck)
Lineage: Eukaryota; Metazoa; Chordata; Mammalia; Rodentia; Sciuridae
Rfam family: tRNA
About the family: Transfer RNA (tRNA) molecules are approximately 80 nucleotides in length. Their secondary structure includes four short double-helical elements and three loops (D, anti-codon, and T loops). Further hydrogen bonds mediate the characteristic L-shaped molecular structure. tRNAs have two regions of fundamental functional importance: the anti-codon, which is responsible for specific mRNA codon recognition, and the 3' end, to which the tRNAs corresponding amino acid is attached (by aminoacyl-tRNA synthetases). tRNAs cope with the degeneracy of the genetic code in two manners: having more than one tRNA (with a specific anti-codon) for a particular amino acid; and 'wobble' base-pairing, i.e. permitting non-standard base-pairing at the 3rd anti-codon position.
Source: Rfam by way of RNAcentral
GGGGUUGUGGCUCAAUGGUAGAGUGCUCACCUAAAAUGUGUGAGGCACUAGGUUCAAUCCUCAGCACCA